This is a long non-coding RNA of Panicum virgatum (switchgrass), 336 nucleotides long. RefSeq lists it as uncharacterized. NCBI's taxonomy places the organism in Eukaryota, Viridiplantae, Streptophyta, Magnoliopsida, Poales, Poaceae. The record is from RefSeq and is a predicted model, not a curated record. The transcript has 3 exons.
CUCCGGCGUCAGGGUGGUCCAGCGCCGCAACCAGUGCCCCUCGAUUCAGCGUCGCCGCUCGUGUUGUUGAUCUUUGUGGAUGUUCUCUUCCGUGCUGUCUCUACGUCGGCAGAAUUCGGGAGAGGAUUUGGGCUGCUUGCUUCGGAGGACCUGUUUCUUGCUGCCUGUGCUCAGGUUAAGCAUCCCACUGCUGUCCAAUGGCUGGGUGAUAGUAACUGAGAAGAAUGACACUUGAAUGCUUUUAGCACAAGCACGGUAGUCAGAGAGAUUAUGUAUUUUUCUCCUCACAAAAAGUGUAUAUCUUUUCUUAGUGUUGCAAGACAGGACAGAUAGUUU